RNAcentral lists this ribosomal RNA (187 nucleotides) under Escherichia coli. RNAcentral's name for it is "partial 23S ribosomal RNA". It matches the Rfam family "Bacterial large subunit ribosomal RNA", at positions 2744 to 2925 of the family's 2925-position model. Lineage: Bacteria; Pseudomonadati; Pseudomonadota; Gammaproteobacteria; Enterobacterales; Enterobacteriaceae. The record is from RNAcentral.
GGUAGCUAAAUGCGGAAGAGAUAAGUGCUGAAAGCAUCUAAGCACGAAACUUGCCCCGAGAUGAGUUCUCCCUGACUCCUUGAGAGUCCUGAAGGAACGUUGAAGACGACGACGUUGAUAGGCCGGGUGUGUAAGCGCAGCGAUGCGUUGAGCUAACCGGUACUAAUGAACCGUGAGGCUUAACCUU